RNAcentral lists this ribosomal RNA (1971 nucleotides) under human gut metagenome. RNAcentral's name for it is "bacterial LSU rRNA". It matches the Rfam family "Bacterial large subunit ribosomal RNA", at positions 56 to 1977 of the family's 2925-position model. The record is from RNAcentral.
CCAUGAUAAACGAUGUGCAAGGGCCGGAAACCUGCAAUACCUACAAUAUGCUCCGCCUUACUAAAAUGCUUUAUCAGAACUCUCAUAAUCCCUGCAAUAUAAAUGAACCCGACCCCAACUACAUCAACUAUUACGAACGUGCGGUUACUAGCACUUAUGUGUUAGAGCUAACGCAGGGAACUGAAACAUCUUAGUACCUGCAGGAAGAGAAAAUAAAUUAAUGAUUCCCCCAGUAGUGGCGAGCGAACGGGGAACAGCCCAAACCAGUGGCGUCGCAAGGCGUGGCUGGGGUUGUAGGACCGCGACAUUGUAUUGAAAUGGUGAGUGGAAGUAUCUGGAAAGUUACAUCACAGAAGGUGAUAAUCCUGUACACGAAGCCAGAUCAGGCAUAGCGGUAUCCUGAGUAACGCGGGACACGAGGAAUCCUGCGCGAAUCUGCCGGGACCAUCCGGUAAGGCUAAAUACUCCCGUGAGACCGAUAGCGAACGAGUACUGUGAAGGAAAGGUGAAAAGAACCCCGAGCAGGGGAGUGAAAUAGUUCCUGAAACCAUACGCCUACAAGCGGUCGGAGCAUCUUACGAUGUGACGGCGUGCCUUUUGCAUAAUGAUCCUACGAGUUACCGUCACUGGCGAGGUUGAGUGUCACGAGACACGUAGCCGCAGUGAAAGCGAGCCUGAAGAGGGCGCACAGUCAGUGGGGGUAGACGCGAAACCAAGUGAUCUACACUUGGCCAGGAUGAAGUCCCGGUAACACGGGAUGGAGGUCCGCACCAAUAAGCGUUGAAAAGCUUCUGGAUGAGCCGAGUGUAGGAGUGAAAGGCCAAUCAAACUUGGAGAUAGCUCGUACUCCCCGAAAGGCAUUUAGGUGCCGCGUCGGAUGGUCACCGUGAGAGGUAGAGCGACCGAUAGGACAAGAGGGCUUCACCGCCUAUCGAGUCCUGACGAACUCCGAAUGCUCACGGUUUGCAGUCCGGCAGUAAGGGGGCGGGUGCUAAGGUCCGUCCCCGAGAGGAGAAGAAUCCAGACCGCCGUCUAAGGUCCCGGAGUUCUGCCUGAGUUAGUCUAACGAAGUCUGGUCCCUAUGACAGCUAGGAUGUUGGCUUGGAAGCAGCCAUUCAUUCAAAGAGUGCGUAACAGCUCACUAGUCGAGGGUCCGGGCAUGGAUAAUAAUCGGGUAUAAGGCAGACACCGAAGGCGCGGGAUAGCAAUUUUAAAAGUAUCGGUAGGGGAGCAUACUCACAGCGUCGAAUGGUGUACGUAAGUUAUCCUGGAGCGGUGAGUAAAGCAAAUGUAGGAAUAAGUAACGAUAAGGAGGGUUAGAUUCCCUCCCGCUGUAAGACCAAGGUUUCCCGGGCAAUGCCAAUCAGCCCGGGGUCAGUCGGGUCCUAAGUCUAAGCCGAACGGCGAUGGCGAUGGCAGAGACGGUUAAUAUUCCGUCACUGCCGCAUGGGGCGACGUGGAGACGGAGCAGUGAAACCACCGCGGGGCGACGGAAGUCCCCGUUGAAGAGUGUAGGUGUUGAGGAUGGCAGGCAAAUCCACCAUCCGAGCUGAACUUGACAGUAUGGAGUCUUCUCCGGAAGAAUCCAAUAGUGUGGGUAAUCAUACUCCCGAGAAAAUCCGCUAAGCUUAACCCAUGCGGCACCCGUACCGUAAACGGACACACGUGGUCGGGUAGAACAUACUAAGGCGUUGAGAGAUUCAUGGUUAAGGAACUAGGCAAAUUGACCCUGUAACUUCGGGAUAAAGGGUCCUCGUGAUGAGCGAGGCGCAGAGAAUAGGUCCAGGCAACUGUUUAACAAAAACACAGGGCUGUGCAAACUCGAAAGAUGAGGUAUACAGCCUGACACCUGCCCGGUGCCGGAAGGUUAAGAGGAGAUGUCACUCUUUGGGAGGAAGCAUUGAAUUGAAGCCCCGGUAAACGGCGGCCGUAACUAUAACGGUCCUAAGGUAGCGAAAUUCCUUGUCGGGU